Molecule: long non-coding RNA, 1627 nt
Organism: Ricinus communis (castor bean)
Lineage: Eukaryota; Viridiplantae; Streptophyta; Magnoliopsida; Malpighiales; Euphorbiaceae
Exons: 3
Source: RefSeq, a predicted model, not a curated record
UAACUAAUAGUUAAGAUAGGAUUCAGAGGAACAUCAAUGCCACAAAUACAAGAUAGGAUUGUUAGCCACAGGAAUUGAAGUUAUUUAAAUAAGUUGCUUUAUGUUAAUAGUUUAGCUACUUAUAUAGUUAAUGGUCUUUUAUGCAGGUUUAUCAGGCUGCUUCCUUACUUUAGUUGAUACUUCAUUUGACUCUGUUGUUGUGGCUUUAUGACUCUUGGUUCAGUUGAUGUUGUAAUUGUAGAAAAGUUGUUUUAUCCUUCAUUGAUACUGUAAUCAUGUGUAUGUUUUGCCCAUUUAGUAUUAAUUUGUUGCUAUGUUAAAUAUGGUUGAGAUUGACCUGUAGUUUUUGUUGCUUUAGUUUUUUUUUUUUAUUAUCAGAAAUAAUGAAUAUUCCAUUACUGAGAAGGAGAAAUAUCCUCAUACAAUAAGUUUGAGAGAAUGCUUGGGGCCUGGUACAAAAUUCCCCUAAAAUCAAGCACCCCCACAUUUCUAGAGAGCCUAUGUGCUACCUUGUUAGACUCUCUAGAGAUGUGCCGGAAUUGAACAUUAAAAAUCUUACCACUCCUAUUGGCAAUCUCCUCUACUAUUGACAAAAUUCUCCAUGGAGUUUGGUCUUUGUGGCUAGCCAAGGAGCUAAUAACCACUAACGCAUCGAAUUCGAAGAAUAUACUCUGCCAUGAAAUGCCCUCUACAAAUCUUACCGCCUCCCUAAGAGCUUCCGCUUCUUCAGCCACCACCGCCGAUCUGCAGCAAAAUUCCUUACAUCCUGCAAAAAUCAAUGAACCUCUCGCGUCUCUACACACAAAGGCUGCUUUCCCUAUACCGUUGCUUUGGUGGAAAGAAGCGUCACAAUUUAUUUUGUAGAGUCCAUCUGGGGGGACCUCCCAUGCCGCUGCACCCUUUUGAUUUUGUGAACCUUCAUUUUGAGGUUUGGCCGGCCACAAUAACGGAUCCAGCUCGACCACUUUCUACAAGCUUGUUGCAGUUGUUAUUAUGGGCAAAUUAAAUAACAUGUGCCCGGGCUUUAUAGCUGCAGUGUGUCCAAGAGGGAAGCUUGAGAUCAAGAAAGAUGACCUUUAAUAAAAAGUCAUGUUCUUUGCAAUGCGGCAAUAAUGAAACAAGGUCCAAGCUCACAUGCUUUUAUCAAAGAAUUGAAGGACUAUAAGCAAGCAUCAUAGGUCUAUCACUUGCUGGUGCAUGCAAAAUUUAGCUAGAGGAAUUUGCUCUCUAUCUCUCAUUGCAACUCUUCAAAUUGUCUACUGAUCAGCUUAAGAGGCUUCAUUAACUUUAGCUCAAACCAUAGAUCGAUUAGGUCAUCCUGAAUCAACAAUAAUGUAAGAAUUAUUGAAAGCUCUUAUGGCCAUCCAUUGAAGAACCAGAAGAUUCUUCAAUCUAAUGAAUUCUCAUGUUCAGCUUGCUCUCAAGGAGAGCUGAUUAUUAGUUCUUCACUGAGCAAAAUUAAAAAUGAAUCACCUAAAUUUCUACAAUGUAUACAAGACAAUAUUUGUAGAUUAGUUCAUCCACCAUGUAGACUAUUUAAAUAUUCUAUGGUGUUAAUAGAUGCAUCAAUAAGAUGAUCAUAUGUAUGUUUAUUAUCAACUCGAAAUCUGACAUUUGUCAGAUUACU